This 482-nucleotide ribosomal RNA is filed under the name uncultured bacterium. Its description in RNAcentral is "bacterial SSU rRNA". It matches the Rfam family "Bacterial small subunit ribosomal RNA", at positions 28 to 522 of the family's 1533-position model. The record is from RNAcentral.
GACGAACGCUGGCGGCGUGCCUAACACAUGCAAGUCGAACGAGAUCCAUGGGAGCUUGCUCCCGGAAGAUCUAGUGGCGAACGGGUGAGUAACACGUGAGAAACCUGCCCUGGAGUGGGGAAUAACUCGGGGAAACUCGAGCUAAUACCGCAUACCCUCGGAUGGUCGCAUGGCCGACCGAGGAAAGAUUUAUCGCUCUAGGAGGGUCUCGCGGCCUAUCAGCUAGUUGGUGGGGUAACGCCUACCAAGGCAACGACGGGUAGCUGGUUUGAGAGAACGAUCAGCCACACUGGGACUGAGACACGGCCCAGACUCCUACGGGAGGCAGCAGUGGGGAAUCUUGCGCAAUGGGCGAAAGCCUGACGCAGCAACGCCGCGUGCGGGAUGACGGCCUUCGUGGUUGUAAACCGCUUUCAGCAGGUCGAAAUAGACGGUACCUGCAGAAGAAGACCCCGGCUAACUACGUGCCAGCAGCCGCGGUA